UACGUAGGGUGCGAGCGUUAAUCGGAAUUACUGGGCGUAAAGCGUGCGCAGGCGGUUUUGUAAGUCUGACGUGAAAUCCCCGGGCUCAACCUGGGAAUUGCGUUGGAGACUGCAAGGCUAGAAUCUGGCAGAGGGGGGUAGAAUUCCACGUGUAGCAGUGAAAUGCGUAGAGAUGUGGAGGAACACCGAUGGCGAAGGCAGCCCCCUGGGUCAAGAUUGACGCUCAUGCACGAAAGGCGUGGGGAGCAAACAGG
RNAcentral lists this ribosomal RNA (254 nucleotides) under uncultured bacterium. RNAcentral's name for it is "partial 16S ribosomal RNA". It matches the Rfam family "Bacterial small subunit ribosomal RNA", at positions 524 to 776 of the family's 1533-position model. The record is from RNAcentral.